AUUGAACGCUGGCGGCAUGCCUUACACAUGCAAGUCGAACGGCAGCGGGGGAGAAGCUUGCUUUUCCUGCCGGCGAGUGGCGAACGGGUGAGUAAUACAUCGGAACGUGCCCUGUAGUGGGGGAUAACUAGUCGAAAGAUUAGCUAAUACCGCAUACGACCUGAGGGUGAAAGUGGGGGACCGCAAGGCCUCAUGCUAUAGGAGCGGCCGAUGUCUGGUUAGCUAGUUGGUGGGGUAAAGGCCUACCAAGGCGACGAUCAGUAGCUGGUCUGAGAGGACGAUCAGCCACACUGGGACUGAGACACGGCCCAGACUCCUACGGGAGGCAGCAGUGGGGAAUUUUGGACAAUGGGCGAAAGCCUGAUCCAGCAAUGCCGCGUGUGUGAAGAAGGCCUUCGGGUUGUAAAGCACUUUCGUCCGGAAAGAAAUGGCUCUGGUUAAUACCUGGGGUCGAUGACGGUACCGGAAGAAUAAGGACCGGCUAACUACGUGCCAGCAGCCGCGGUAA
This 508-nucleotide ribosomal RNA is filed under the name uncultured bacterium. RNAcentral describes it as "partial 16S ribosomal RNA". It matches the Rfam family "Bacterial small subunit ribosomal RNA", at positions 30 to 523 of the family's 1533-position model. The record is from RNAcentral.